AUUGAACGCUGGCGGCAUGCUUUACACAUGCAAGUCGAACGGCAGCGCGGGCUUCGGCCUGGCGGCGAGUGGCGAACGGGUGAGUAAUGCAUCGGAACGUGCCCAGUAGUGGGGGAUAGCCCGGCGAAAGCCGGAUUAAUACCGCAUACGACCUGAGGGUGAAAGCGGGGGACCGAAAGGCCUCGCGCUAUUGGAGCGGCCGAUGUCGGAUUAGCUAGUUGGUGGGGUAAAGGCUUACCAAGGCGACGAUCCGUAGCUGGUCUGAGAGGGCGACCAGCCACACUGGGACUGAGACACGGCCCAGACUCCUACGGGAGGCAGCAGUGGGGAAUUUUGGACAAAGGGGGCAACCCUGAUCCAGCCAUGCCGCGUGCGGGAAGAAGGCCUUCGGGUUGUAAACCGCUUUUGUUCGGGAAGAAAUCCUCUGGGCUAAUACCCCGGGGGGAUGACGGUACCGGAAGAAUAAGCACCGGCUAACUACGUG
Molecule: ribosomal RNA, 484 nt
Filed under: uncultured bacterium
Lineage: Bacteria
Description: partial 16S ribosomal RNA
Rfam family: Bacterial small subunit ribosomal RNA
Source: RNAcentral